CUAAAAGCCCCUCGCUUACACCGAGAUAAUGUCUGUUUAACUCGGACCAUUUUGA
RNAcentral lists this transfer RNA (55 nucleotides) under Amolops wuyiensis (Sanchiang sucker frog). RNAcentral's name for it is "tRNA-Val". Lineage: Eukaryota; Metazoa; Chordata; Amphibia; Anura; Ranidae. The record is from RNAcentral.